GGAAGCAAAAAGUCGUAACAAGGUCUCCGUAGGUGAACCUGCGGAGGGAUCAUUACACAAAUAUGAAGGCGGGCUGGAACCUCUCGGGGUUACAGCCUUGCUGAAUUAUUCACCCUUGUCUUUUGCGUACUUCUUGUUUCCUUGGUGGGUUCGCCCACCACUAGGACAAACAUAAACCUUUUGUAAUUGCAAUCAGCGUCAGUAACAAAUUAAUAAUUACAACUUUCAACAACGGAUCUCUUGGUUCUGGCAUCGAUGAAGAACGCAGCGAAAUGCGAUAAGUAGUGUGAAUUGCAGAAUUCAGUGAAUCAUCGAAUCUUUGAACGCACAUUGCGCCCUUUGGUAUUCCAAAGGGCAUGCCUGUUCGAGCGUCAUUUGUACCCUCAAGCUUUGCUUGGUGUUGGGCGUCUUGUCUCUAGCUUUGCUGGAGACUCGCCUUAAAGUAAUUGGCAGCCGGCCUACUGGUUUCGGAGCGCAGCACAAGUCGCACUCUCUAUCAGCAAAGGUCUAGCAUCCAUUAAGCCUUUUUUUCAACUUUUGACCUCGGAUCAGGUAGGGAUACCCGCUGAACUUAAGCAUAUCAAUAAGCGGAGGAAAAGAAACCAACAGGGAUUGCCCUAGUAACGGCGAGUGAAGCGGCAACAGCUCAAAUUUGAAAUCUGGCUCUUUUAGAGUCCGAGUUGUAAUUUGCAGAGGGCGCUUUGGC
RNAcentral lists this ribosomal RNA (706 nucleotides) under Alternaria sp. G13A. RNAcentral describes it as "eukaryotic LSU rRNA". The stretch from base 221 to 374 matches the Rfam family "5.8S ribosomal RNA". The record is from RNAcentral. Lineage: Eukaryota; Fungi; Ascomycota; Dothideomycetes; Pleosporales; Pleosporaceae.